AUCUCUUCUCUGUUUAUUAGCUAAAAUCAAACGUAGUAUCUGUCCUACCAAUUAAAGCACCUGACAUAUUCUUUAUCUGUGUAUUAGGCAUUAAUGUUUGGAGUUAGGAGAUGAAUUGGUAGCUUAAUUAAUCGGCUCCACCCUCAGCUUGGAACUGCAUUACUUCCAGGAACGGUGCCUUCCUU
Delphinapterus leucas (beluga whale) is the source of this 185-nucleotide small nuclear RNA. Its record names the gene U2. It matches the Rfam family "U2 spliceosomal RNA". From Rfam's summary of the family: U2 is a small nuclear RNA (snRNA) component of the spliceosome (involved in pre-mRNA splicing). The record is from Ensembl. Lineage: Eukaryota; Metazoa; Chordata; Mammalia; Artiodactyla; Monodontidae.